RNAcentral lists this long non-coding RNA (1347 nucleotides) under Lactuca sativa (garden lettuce). Its description in RNAcentral is "long non-coding RNA (LSAT_LNC005288)". The record is from RNAcentral. Lineage: Eukaryota; Viridiplantae; Streptophyta; Magnoliopsida; Asterales; Asteraceae.
AAUUUGAAGUUGAACCCCCAGAUAGAGAAGUUUGCUGUAGAUUGACUGUUUGCAUUUGGGAAGUCAUUGGGUUUUCGUGUGUUUGUUGUGAUUGUGAUUGUGAUUGCAUAUGUGGUGGUUGUGGUUGUUGUUGUUGUGUGGGGGCAGGUUUCCGGUGAUUUGAGGUGAUGAUAUGGACGAUUUGCUUCUCAUAAAUACUAAGUUUGUCUUUAUAGCUGACUAAAAUGUUGUGCUUUUGGAUUUGUAAGAAUGCCAUGAAACGUUCCAACAUGUUUUUGAAUAUUCUCAGCCUCUCAAGUUGCUCGUUCUUUGGCUGCUGAGGAAGAGAAUCGUGCUGGACAACAAAGUUUUUUGUUAAAUGCAAGAAAUAGCAAUGUACUUUUACUGAUUGAUUUAUUAGAGCAAUGUCAAUGAAAUAUAAAGCAAUUUUCACUGAUAUAAUUGGAGUAAAUUUUCAAAGUAUAAUGUCCUAAAUUAGGUCCCUUAACAAGUGAAAAGCACAAUGGGACUACAACAAAACCAUAAAGAUAUGUAUAUGAGCCACUACUAACUUACCUGUAGCAAUUUGCUAAGAAUUUUAUGGUGCAUGUCAUUCAAAUCUGGUAGAUACAGAUCCUUCAUAGCUUUUAUCUGUAAUCAAAAUAAAAACAAAUUUGGAGUAACUGAAAAUUACACUACAGAUGCAAAUCCCUCAAUAGAUUUUAUCUGAUCUGAAUUCUAAAAGAUAUGUAAUCUCAUAUACAAUACCUUUUGAUACACUUCCUCCUGCCAAUCUCCAUCAUUUUCAUUUCCCGUCUGAGCUGUCCAAUAUAACAAUGCAACAAAAAAUUUAAAAUCUGCAUACUAUUAGCUCAUUGCAAUUUGCAACAAACAANAAAAAAAAAAAAAAUUUUUUUUUUUUUUUUUUUUUUUUUUUUAAAAAGUGGCUGAAGGAUACCUAUCCCAUUAUGUGACACCAAAGGAUUUAUGUUUACUUGUUGGGCAGCAGUCCCAUUCACUGAAUUUUGCUGUAGAGAACCAUUCAUACUGAUAUUUUGUUGCACAGAAUGCAUAUGUGGUGGUGGAGGAAGUGGUUGUGGUGGUGGCUGCUGAGUGGCGGCAGGUUUCCGGAGGUUUGAGGUGAUGAUAUGGAGGAUCUGCUUCUCANCUGCUGAGUGGCGGCAGGUUUCCGGAGGUUUGAGGUGAUGAUAUGGAUGAUCUGCUUCUCGUAAGUACUCAGUUUGUCUUUAUAGUUGACUAAAAUGUUGUGCUUUUGGAUUUGUAAGAAUGCCAUGAAACGCUCCAACAUGUUUUUGAAUGCUUUCAGCUUCUCAAGUUGCUCAUUAUUUGAUUGCUGAGGAAGAGAAU